AAUCAGCAUUUUGUGGAGGGAAUUUAUAUAUAUAUAUAUUAUGAUUAAAAUUCCCGCCAUUUAAAACCCCUCCUCAGUAACAAAACCAUUUUCAAUUCACCAUUAAAUCCUCUCUCUUCAAGUUCUCACUGCCUAGACUCCUAUCUAUCACCAAAAUGGCGAAACCUAAAGAAAUACUAGUAGAAGAUGAAGAAGUGAAAUCCGAGGGUCUCGAAAUCAUUUCCAUUGGAUCUCUAUACGAAGGUCCCUGGGAGAAGAAGUACUGGAGCUCCUCUAGGGGGAAAGAUCGCUACCCUUACCCAGUGGGAUACCAUGCUGUUCGAGCUCAUAAUGGCAAUACCUGCAAGAUGGAAAUUCAUGAAGGACCGAAAGGGCCUUUAUUUAUGAUCACUGCUGCUGAUGGGCCUUCAUGUUCUGGGCAAACUCCAGAUAUUGCAUGGGAUAAGUUUCAGAAGAAAUAUUGCCCUCGAAUGAAGACAUGGCAUGGAAAGAGACUUUCAUGCAAGAUAGAUGGUGUGGAGUUUUUUGGGUUCAAAAAUUCAUUUGUCCAGAGGUUACUUCGAGAACUGGUGGCAAAUGUCAAUGGAACAGCAGAAAGGAACUUAUUAUCCCACAGUUUAUGCAAUGGGGCUCCCAUUAGAGAGCAUGAUAAGCAUACAGAUGCAGGUAUAUAUCUAGAUUUACAGUCGGACAUUGAGAGAACAAAGAUUACAAAGAAGAGAAGUAGACGUGAAAUAAAAAAUACAAAGCCAGUUGGUAGGAAUGGUCUAAAAAGACCUCGAUCUCAAGGCUUGGAAUGUGAUUCCAAGGCUACAAGCUCGGUACUAGUAAAUCAGAGGAAUCAAAAUCAUGGAAGUUCUAUGCCUUGUUCUACUUCAAAAGAAGGAAAUGACUUUUGUAAAAAUCAAGAAGCCUUGUCAGCAUCAGAGCACUUAAAUUUCAAAGCAGCUGAGGGGGAAGAUGGUUGCCUUUCGGCUAAUUACGGUUUUCCUUCUGUAUCCAUUGACUUUUCUGCUCAUCUCUCUGAGGGAAAUGUUCCAGUUCAAGAAUGGAACAAACUUGUGGGUUCUGUAGAUGGUAAAUCCAGCAGAGUGACCAACAACUUGGUUGAAGAGGGAAAACCUCUUGAUAGGUCAAAGAAUUUCAGCUUUCAAGUAGCAGGAGAAGGUAAAGCUGGUGAUGCACUGGUCCCAAAUGAUUCUUUUGGUGUAGAAACUAUCAAUCUCUUUGCCCCUGACACUUUAGAUUCUGUGCAAGACAAUAGUGCACAAUCCUCACCCACUACAGAGUAUAACAGUACCUACAAUCUGAAAGAAGACUUUACCACAGCCAACAAUGCCAUUCCUGAAGGAUUAGUAACUGAUUCACACCCAAAAGAAGAAAUAGACACAUUUAAUUCAACUGCAAAUCCUGGAAAGAGUGAUUCUGAUUCAAUUGGUCAGGAAAUUGCCACUGCUAUGAUGACGGUUCUACUCCCACAAGCAAUUCCUCUACUUAACAAGAAAUCAAGUAAGAAAAAGGCAACCAUUAAAGCUUCUGAAUCUUUGUCUUGCAUGGUGAAUCCCAAGAAGAAUGAUGAAACUAGCCACUUUGUGGAUGCUUCGUUUCCAGCUGCAAUGCUAAAUGAGAAGACAAAUGUGGAAAUGGAGGAAAAUAUGCAAAUCCCCAAAAUAAAUCUUGGUUCAGUUCCAAGUUCUGAACAUUCCAUGUCUGUUGUUCUUGACAGUUUUGAAGAUGCAUGUGGUGACCAUAUAACUAACGAAAUAGCAUCCUCUUCCCAAACUUUGGAAGCCGAUCUACCUGGCAUUGAUAAAGAAAAAAAUCUUUUAACCAAUCAAAAAGAGUAUAUUGUUGAUGCAAAUGAAUCCUCAGUUUGUGCUCAGAAUAACAAGAGCAAAAUUAUCUUGUGUGAUGAUGAAAUAAACAUGGUUUUGAAUAAAAACCUUCCAGAGGGUGUGUCUGAGUCUGUUUUAGGCGGCAGAUUUUCUGGCAAGAAAGUUUUCUUUGAAAGGGAUCAGGAUGUUUGUGUAAAUUUUGACCAAAACUCAGUAGGCAUUGGGUUCCAUCUUGUGGAGAAAGACAUCGAAAUUGAAUCCAAUUGCACUGAAGAUGCAAGUGAUGCCCACCAAAGAGGCAUGAGUAAUUCUGUGCAACUCUCAGGGAAGGAUAAUUCUGCUAAAAAUACAGCAAAUGAGACAGUCUCUGUUGUGCAAGCUCCAAAAAAAGUAUAUUCCAGAAAGGUCUCAAAGAAAGUUCCUAUCGUAAAAAAUUUCAGUGGUCCUCUCUCAGAAAGUAUCAUAUGCAGAAAUUUUGAAAGUUUUUGUGUCCCCAAAACACAUUGUGCCGCAGAAACUUUGGCUGUCUCUGUGAUUAGUGAAAUGAAAUCUUCUGAUGACAAGCAACAUGAAGGAGAUUUUGGUGCUAAAACUAGGCUUGAGGAACAAUGCCAUGUUUCAUCUGUGUUAUCUCAGAAUUCAGCAGUGUUUGGUGACUGCAAAGUAGAGGAGUUUUGCAAUUUUUCUGAUCCAUAUGCCAUACACAUGAAGAAAUCUGAAGGCUAUUCUGAUGAAGAACUGUUUGGGCCAAUGAAGCAUGCAGAGUCUAAUGCUUCUGUAGUACCUCAGAAACAGGAGAUAAGUUUCUCUGGAUAUAACUGUAAUGCCAAGGAUGUUAAAGUUAGUUCAGACAUAAAGCUUCAAAAGAAUGUAGAGAUCAAUAAUGAGCUACAGGGCAUUGUUGACUUUGCAGGAUGCUAUUUCCACCCCAUGCCUAUUUCUUCAGUGUUGUUAGCCACAAAAGGGGAUGAAAUCUACAUAUGUGUUUUAUGUGGCCUUCUGAAUGAGAAGAACAGAACCCUGUUCAUCUACAAGGUAGCAAUUCAAGAACAGAGCGUAGGAUGCCCUUCUUUCAUUGGCCACACAUCAGUAAUGUUGCCAUUUUUAAAAGAUAUCUUCGGCAGAGAUAUUGCACUGGAAACAUCUUGUUUGCAAUUCACUCCAGAUGGACAGUGUCUUGUUUUGCUUGGCAGCAUCAAGACACCUUAUUGCAGGGAAGGCAGAAUUGAUUGUUUGUGCUCAGCUUGUUCAUUGGAGUGCAGUGAGAAGAAUGCAGUGAAGAUUGUGCAAGCUAAAUCUGGUUAUGUUUCUGUUGUUGCAAAUCUCAAAACAGAUGACAGCGUGCAGUGUAUGUUGGUUUGUGAACCUUACUAUGUCAUUGCUGUUGGAGAGAGUGGGAGAAUGCAUGUAUGGGAAAUGAAUUCAACAUGGAGUGCACAGAUUGAAGAAAUUGUUAUAUCAGUUGAUGAUUACAUAUAUCCUUGCAUAGUAGAGCUGAAGAAAAUCCCAAAUUCUGCCUCUCUAGUUGUUGGUCAUAACGGUUUUGGGCAAUUUGGUUUAUGGGAUAUUUCGAGACUAGUCUUUUUGUCGAGGUUCUCUGCUCCAAGCACUUCAAUUUAUCAAUUCUUUCCAAUAAAUUUCUUUUGUUGGCCAAGAAAUGUCUCCAUUUCAUCAGGAACUAAUUUGCUGGAAAAAGUCAAAGAAAUUGUGGAUGCAUCAAAAUUUUGGUUCUCCAAACACCAUGAGAACAACCAUUUUCUUCCAUUGGAGAGGGAAGAUAUAGCCAUUUGGCUUCUUGUCUCAACAGCCUCUGUUUCUGAAGCUCAACAUAAUCAUAUAUCAAGUGAUUGCCAAACAAAUCCAGUCAGAGUGUGGAGGCUAGCACUACUGGUGAAAAACACAGUAAUCUUGGGAAGUACAUUGGAUCCAAGAACUCAUUGUGCAGGGCUGCUGCCAUUGGUGCAUUUUCUGGUCUUGGGGUCAUUGGUACAGACGAUGGACUUGUGUAUGCAUGGGAACUGUCUUCAGGAGCUAAACUUGGUACUCUACAUCAUUAUAAAGGUGGCGGUGUUUCAUGCAUUGCUACAGAUGAUUCAAGUUCACAAGUCUUGGCUGUAGCUGGUGAUGGAGGUCAAUUGCUACUGUAUAUGCAUUCUGCAAAAAAUAGUUCAAAUUAAUAAGACAAACAAGUUUUGCUAUCCAUGAGCAGAAAAGUUAGAUGUGAACCUUCCCUAUACGCGAUAUAUGGUGGUGGGUGACGAAAGGAGUCACAUCAACGAUACCCAUGCUGGUGGGUCUCAGUAUUUUGGUCGAGGCAAGCGGUGAGCACCGACAAAUUUAUCAAAUAUCAAUAGGUGAAAAUGAACUUUCACUUUUGCUCUCGAGACAAAAAGUUCACUUUAUAAAUUCAAAUUUCAAAUCCA
This is an RNA transcript of Mangifera indica (mango), 4258 nucleotides long. RefSeq lists it as uncharacterized. The transcript has 15 exons. The record is from RefSeq and is a predicted model, not a curated record. Lineage: Eukaryota; Viridiplantae; Streptophyta; Magnoliopsida; Sapindales; Anacardiaceae.